GCGAUAAAGGCUCAAAGGUCCUUUUGUCGUUCAUUUGCGUCGUCGGCCGGUUGCCGCGAAACGCUCCCGGGCUACUUGUGCGUUGCCCCUUCAUCGUCGGUAUCGGAGCCCAGCGCCGGAAAACCACUCAAGUGUUCGUUUCCUCGUGCGUGAGUUACGUCGUUUUCUCUCCUGUUGUCAUGUGCCUUUUUGAUACCCAUGAACGAGUGGAUGAAGACACACAGAAUGGACUUCGCCCUUGCGGUCCCUCUACUUUUGGCUUUGACAGGGCUUACUGCAGCUUACCCAACAGAGCAGUGUGCCGCUUAUUGCAGAGACUCCGGUAAAACUCAGUUUGAUGUUGGUUAUCACUACAACAUAUAAUUACAACGCAGAGACUAGCUCCAAAGUUGGAGGAUUGAAGAACUUGAUAGCCAAAGUGCCACAUUGAACAUCUCAGCUACUGUUGACAUUCAUGUCUUGACACCCUGUGAAUAUAGUCUACAGGUAAGGUCAUUUUUCAAACGAAAAUUUACAAAAUUUUCCCUUCGGAAAUCCUUUUAUCUUCAUACUUUCACGUUCCAAAUCGACACGGCACUGAAUAAACUACUGGACAAAUUUGAAAAUAUCAGCACGAAUUAUUAGUUUGAACUUUUGUACCUAUCCUAU
Molecule: long non-coding RNA, 648 nt
Filed under: Bemisia tabaci
Lineage: Eukaryota; Metazoa; Arthropoda; Insecta; Hemiptera; Aleyrodidae
Description: lncRNA ENSSWEETPG012154
Source: RNAcentral